GAUGAACGCUGGCGGCGUGCCUAAUACAUGCAAGUCGAGCGGAAGGGCGCGAAGCUUGCGGCUCUGAUGUUAGCGGCAGACGGGUGAGUAACGCGUGGAUAACCUACCUGUAAUACUGGGAUAACUACGAGAAACCGGCGCUAAUAGCGUAUGAUAUUUUGAACCACGUGGGGCAAAGGUGAAAGACGGUCUUGCGGUCACGUAUAGAUGGAUCCGGGCUGGAUUAGCUAGUUGGUAAGGUAACGGCUUACCAAGGCAACGAUGCAUAGCCGACCUCAGAGAGUGAUAGGCCACAUUGGAAGGUAGCCACGGUCAUGACGCCUACGGGAGGCCGCAGUAGGGAAUGUGAGGCAAUGGGCGAAAGCAUGACGGAGCAACGCGGCGUGAGUGAUGACGGCCUUCGGAUCGUAAUACCCUGUUAUUAGGGAAGAACCGAUUUCUCAUGAACCGUGGCGUGAUUGACGGUACUUAAUAAGAAAGCACCGGCUAACUACGUG
Molecule: ribosomal RNA, 497 nt
Filed under: uncultured bacterium
Lineage: Bacteria
Description: partial 16S ribosomal RNA
Rfam family: Bacterial small subunit ribosomal RNA
Source: RNAcentral